RNAcentral lists this ribosomal RNA (2023 nucleotides) under Prevotella sp. AM34-19LB. Its description in RNAcentral is "Bacterial large subunit ribosomal RNA". It matches the Rfam family "Bacterial large subunit ribosomal RNA", at positions 214 to 2231 of the family's 2925-position model. Lineage: Bacteria; Pseudomonadati; Bacteroidota; Bacteroidia; Bacteroidales; Prevotellaceae. The record is from Rfam by way of RNAcentral.
AGGAAGAGAAAAUAAAUGAAUGAUUCCCCCAGUAGUGGCGAGCGAACGGGGAACAGCCCAAACCAGUGGCGUCGCAAGGCGUGGCUGGGGUUGUAGGACCGCGACAUUGUAUGCAAAUCGUGAACAGAACACUUUGGAAAAUGUGACCAUAGACGGUGAUAGUCCAGUAUGUGAAGCGAAAUGCGGCAUAGCGGUAUCCUGAGUAACGCGGGACACGAGGAAUCCUGCGCGAAUCUGCCGGGACCAUCCGGUAAGGCUAAAUACUCCCGUGAGACCGAUAGCGAACGAGUACUGUGAAGGAAAGGUGAAAAGAACCCCGAGCAGGGGAGUGAAAUAGUUCCUGAAACCAUGCGCCUACAAGCGGUCGGAGCAUCUUACGAUGUGACGGCGUGCCUUUUGCAUAAUGAUCCUACGAGUUACCGUCACUGGCGAGGUUGAGUGUCACGAGACACGUAGCCGCAGUGAAAGCGAGCCUGAACAGGGCGCACAGUCAGUGGGGGUAGACGCGAAACCAAGUGAUCUACACUUGGCCAGGAUGAAGUCCCGGUAACACGGGAUGGAGGUCCGCACCAAUAAGCGUUGAAAAGCUUCUGGAUGAGCCGAGUGUAGGAGUGAAAGGCCAAUCAAACUUGGAGAUAGCUCGUACUCCCCGAAAGGCAUUUAGGUGCCGCGUCGGAUGGUCACCGUGAGAGGUAGAGCGACCGAUAGGACAAGAGGGCUUCACCGCCUAUCGAGUCCUGACGAACUCCGAAUGCUCACGGUCUGCAGUCCGGCAGUAAGGGGGCGGGUGCUAAGGUCCGUCCCCGAGAGGAGAAGAAUCCAGACCGCCGUCUAAGGUCCCGGAGUUCUGCCUGAGUUAGUCUAACGAAGUCUGGUCCCUAUGACAGCUAGGAUGUUGGCUUGGAAGCAGCCAUUCAUUCAAAGAGUGCGUAACAGCUCACUAGUCGAGGGUCCGGGCAUGGAUAAUAAUCGGGUAUAAGGCAGACACCGAAGGCGCGGGAUAGCAAUUUUGAAAGUAUCGGUAGGGGAGCAUACUCACAGCGUUGAAUGGUGUACGUAAGUUAUCCUGGAGCGGUGAGUAAAGCAAAUGUAGGAAUAAGUAACGAUAAGGAGGGUUAGAUUCCCUCCCGCUGUAAGACCAAGGUUUCCCGGGCAAUGCCAAUCAGCCCGGGGUCAGUCGGGUCCUAAGUCUAAGCCGAACGGCGAUGGCGAUGGCAGAGACGGUUAAUAUUCCGUCACUGCCGCAUGGGGCGACGUGGAGACGGAGCAGUGAAACCACCGCGGGGCGACGGAAGUCCCCGUUGAAGGGUGUAGGUGUUGAGGAAGGCAGGCAAAUCCACCUUCCGAGCUGAACCUGACAGUACGGAGUCCUCUUCGGAGGAAUCUGAUAGUGUGGGUAAUCAUACUCCCGAGAAAAUCCGCUAAGCUUAACCCAUGCGGCACCCGUACCGCAAACGGACACACGUGGUCGGGUAGAACAUACUAAGGCGUUGAGAGAUUCAUGGUUAAGGAACUAGGCAAAUUGACCCUGUAACUUCGGGAUAAAGGGUCCUCGUGAUGAGCGAGGCGCAGAGAAUAGGUCCAGGCAACUGUUUAACAAAAACACAGGGCUGUGCAAACUCGAAAGAUGAGGUAUACAGCCUGACACCUGCCCGGUGCCGGAAGGUUAAGAGGAGAUGUCACUCGCAAGAGGAAGCAUUGAAUUGAAGCCCCGGUAAACGGCGGCCGUAACUAUAACGGUCCUAAGGUAGCGAAAUUCCUUGUCGGGUAAGUUCCGACCUGCACGAAUGGUGUAAUGAUCCGGACGCUGUCUCAACCAUGAGCUCAGUGAAAUUGUAGUAUCGGUGAAGAUGCCGAUUACCCGCGAUGGGACGAAAAGACCCCGUGAACCUUUACUACAGCUUAGCAUUGACCUUGGUCAUCCGAUGUGUAGGAUAGGCCGGAGGCUUCGAAGCGGGAGCGCCAGCUUUCGUGGAGCCAUCCUUGAAAUACGGCCCUUUGGCUGUCUGAGGUCUAACGCGCG